GGGUUGUGAGGUUAAGCGACUAAGCGUACACGGUGGAUGCCCUGGCAGUCAGAGGCGAUGAAGGACGUGCUAAUCUGCGAUAAGCGUCGGUAAGGUGAUAUGAACCGUUAUAACCGGCGAUUUCCGAAUGGGGAAACCCAGUGUGAUUCGUCACACUAUCAUUAACUGAAUCCAUAGGUUAAUGAGGCGAACCGGGGGAACUGAAACAUCUAAGUACCCCGAGGAAAAGAAAUCAACCGAGAUUCCCCCAGUAGCGGCGAGCGAACGGGGAGGAGCCCAGAGCCUGAAUCAGUGUGUGUGUUAGUGGAAGCGUCUGGAAAGGCGCGCGAUACAGGGUGACAGCCCCGUACACAAAAAUGCACAUGCUGUGAGCUCGAUGAG
RNAcentral lists this ribosomal RNA (381 nucleotides) under Escherichia coli. RNAcentral describes it as "partial 23S ribosomal RNA". It matches the Rfam family "Bacterial large subunit ribosomal RNA", at positions 1 to 412 of the family's 2925-position model. Lineage: Bacteria; Pseudomonadati; Pseudomonadota; Gammaproteobacteria; Enterobacterales; Enterobacteriaceae. The record is from RNAcentral.